RNAcentral lists this ribosomal RNA (425 nucleotides) under uncultured bacterium. Its description in RNAcentral is "partial 16S ribosomal RNA". It matches the Rfam family "Bacterial small subunit ribosomal RNA", at positions 354 to 796 of the family's 1533-position model. The record is from RNAcentral.
GUGGGGAAUAUUGGACAAUGGGCGCAAGCCUGAUCCAGCCAUGCCGCGUGAGUGAUGAAGGCCUUAGGGUUGUAAAGCUCUUUUGUCCGGGAAGAUAAUGACUGUACCGGAAGAAUAAGCCCCGGCUAACUUCGUGCCAGCAGCCGCGGUAUUACGAAGGGGGCUAGCGUUGUUCGGAAUCACUGGGCGUAAAGCGCACGUAGGCGGACCAUUAAGUCAGGGGUGAAAGCCUGGAGCUCAACUCCAGAACUGCCUUUGAUACUGAUGGUCUCGAGUAUGGAAGAGGUUGGUGGAACUGCGAGUGUAGAGGUGAAAUUCGUAGAUAUUCGCAAGAACACCGGUGGCGAAGGCGGCCAACUGGUCCAUUACUGACGCUGAGGUGCGAAAGCGUGGGGAGCAAACAGGAUUAGAAACCCGGGUAGUCC